Molecule: long non-coding RNA, 1449 nt
Organism: Solea senegalensis (Senegalese sole)
Lineage: Eukaryota; Metazoa; Chordata; Actinopteri; Pleuronectiformes; Soleidae
Exons: 3
Source: RefSeq, a predicted model, not a curated record
GUUUUUAAUCAUGAAAACAAGUUAAUAUAUCGGGCGGUCGUAAAACCUGGAGGGUCAAGGGUCGGUCGCACCUGAACAAACAUACUACCGAGUAGUGAAGUCAUGCUUGGCAGGGUUCAGGACUACAGGCGGUCAAGAUUGAUGCUCGUUGUCACUGAUAGGAAGAAGGAAAUGCUAGGCUUCACUGCAAGCUCAUGUCCUCAUCUCUGGACUCGGCAGGACGCUGCAUAGUUUGGCAGGUCCUAUUCAGGAGGGAAGUCCUGUUAAUGGUGAGAACCAAUGCCACAGAGUCUCUGCAUUCCCAGCAAGAGCAGAGAAAAAGCUGAGGACCGCACUUCCAUCUGGCCUCCAGCCUCAACUCAUGAUUUCUCAGGAACAAAUAAGAGGAAAUGGACAGAUGUGACGCAUAAUACAACACAAAAAUGACAGCGGUCAUCAAUGAUUCGAAACCCCUGUAAAGACAAACUGAGUUUCUCUAACGUGGACUUUUGACAGUCUGGUGUUGGGUUAGGUACUGUUCACUGUUCUCCAUCAAUCGAUUACUUGUUUGGCCUAAAUAAAUGUCAGGAAAUGCUUUAAAAUUGAAAAAAAAGUUAAUAAAGGUAAUAAAGACCUCAUUUAGUCAAAAAGUGGGCUGGUCCAGAUCUGUUAUUUGGUAAAAUGUACAACUUUUAACAAGCAGAACAAAAAUAAGUGAAAUUGGGUGUAAGAUGCACCUACAGGACAGUGGAUCAUUUCUCAGUGUUGGCAUUAGUCAGUUGGUACAGUUUAAAAGGACUGACUUAUACCAAACCUUGUUGGAUUCAACUCUGUUGUUUUGGUGUAAAAAUGUCGGCAUUCAGAGACUGUCGAGAUCUUUUCUUUUCUUUUUUUGUGGUCAUUUCAUGGAACUGAUUCCUUGAACACAAAGCAAAUGACCUCAUGUAGCUUUCUUCUAAUAUUCUACCAAGAAUAAUAUAUUUUACAGUCCACAGACUGGCAGUCGGGUGACGUAAUACUCCACGUUUUUUAAACUGAGUUGCUGAAUUAUAUCAUGACAUAUAAUCAGGGCCCACAUGUCACAAUCAGUCACGUUAACAUGACUGAGUUAGACUUUAAAAGUCGGUUUACGUCCACUUCAACAUUGUCAGGAGCGAUGCUUGUGUAAUUCAUACAAAUUCCUACUGAGCCUCGUAAAUCCUGCUCCUGCAGUAAGUGCCAAUAAUUAUCAAAAUGCGCUUUGAAUUCAUGCUGCUAUAAAAAGAACGUAUGACUAGACAAAAGAAAAAUAACUGAAGCUGGGUGAGAUCCAAACCGACCACUCAAACCUCAUGAAACGCUUUUACACUUGCAUCAAUCAGCUGCCUAAAUCAUCGCUCUCGGCGACAAAGACCUGGCACGGAUGGGCGGCGUCCGUCAUGUGCCGCACUGUGAGUGGUGGGCUGUCCUGUCACUCACAGAGGAAACGAG